This 116-nucleotide ribosomal RNA is filed under the name Citrobacter werkmanii. The record is from RNAcentral. Lineage: Bacteria; Pseudomonadati; Pseudomonadota; Gammaproteobacteria; Enterobacterales; Enterobacteriaceae.
AAUNGCGGCUGUAGCGCGGUGGUCCCACCUGACCCCAUGCCGAACUCAGAAGUGAAACGCCGUAGCGCCGAUGGUAGUGUGGGGUCUCCCCAUGCGAGAGUAGGGAACUGCCAGGC